GAGCAAAGUCACCAAGGACUAUUUAUCUGCUUGGAGUAAAGCUGGACGUAUUGAGUCAGCCUGAAACAGCGUCUGCAAGACUCUGGUGACAACAAAGUUAACCUCAAAAUGAAAACCAAGAAGACCGCAGAAUCGACUGAUGCAGUGACCAAAGGUGACU
Maylandia zebra (zebra mbuna) is the source of this 160-nucleotide non-coding RNA. Lineage: Eukaryota; Metazoa; Chordata; Actinopteri; Cichliformes; Cichlidae. The record is from RefSeq and is a predicted model, not a curated record.